UAGGGAAUCUUCGGCAAUGGACGAAAGUCUGACCGAGCAACGCCGCGUGAGUGAAGAAGGUUUUCGGAUCGUAAAACUCUGUUGUUAGAGAAGAACAAGGACGUUAGUAACUGAACGUCCCCUGACGGUAUCUAACCAGAAAGCCACGGCUAACUACGUGCCAGCAGCCGCGGUAAUACGUAGGUGGCAAGCGUUGUCCGGAUUUAUUGGGCGUAAAGCGAGCGCAGGCGGUUUCUUAAGUCUGAUGUGAAAGCCCCCGGCUCAACCGGGGAGGGUCAUUGGAAACUGGGAGACUUGAGUGCAGGAGAGGAGAGUGGAAUUCCAUGUGUAGCGGUGAAAUGCGUAGAUAUAUGGAGGAACACCAGUGGCGAAGGCGGCUCUCUGGUCUGUAACUGACGCUGAGGCUCGAGAGCGUGGGGAGCAAACAGG
Molecule: ribosomal RNA, 429 nt
Filed under: Gemmatimonadota bacterium
Lineage: Bacteria; Pseudomonadati; Gemmatimonadota
Description: Gemmatimonadetes bacterium partial 16S ribosomal RNA
Rfam family: Bacterial small subunit ribosomal RNA
Source: RNAcentral